ACUGUAUAACAACCUCACUGGCUCCCUUUGCUUCCCCUUUUUCUGUGUCUUGCCAAACUCUGAUCCGUAUUCAGCAAUAGGAAUGAAACCGUUGCCCCAUGUCCCCCUAGUAUGCUCAUGCUCAGGUAUAUACACGAUGAUUGGUUGGUUGCAUAACUUUGACAAUACCAAUAAUUCAGACUCUCCUCCCCAAAAAUCAGACCGCUGAACGCGUUGACAGUAUCUUUUCAAAGACUGCUCCACAGUGAUUGCAAUUAGUGCUUCCUCAUAUAGAUGCCUCUCUUUAUCACUGUCGCAUAUUAUUUCCUUGACAGCCAUUCGUAGAUCAUCUGCAUCUUCUCUCUCUUGACUAGCACUAAGCGGCACCCCUUUGUUCCUAGCCAUCCCCUUCA
RNAcentral lists this unclassified non-coding RNA (392 nucleotides) under Hevea brasiliensis (rubber tree). Lineage: Eukaryota; Viridiplantae; Streptophyta; Magnoliopsida; Malpighiales; Euphorbiaceae. The record is from RNAcentral.